CGGGACCGCCGGUCGGGACCGGGCGGAUCCGAGAUUGACGGCCAGAUCCGCCAAUCGCACCGCACGGGGCGAGCUGGGCCCAGCGCAGGCUGCGGCGCGAGAACGGAGCGGCGCGUCUGCCAAUCAGCACACACGACCCGCGCGGAGGGGGCGGGGCUUCCCCUGGAGUGAAGGAGCUCGGAACCAAUCAGCCGGCACCGUGGGCAUGGGGGCGGGGCUACGGGAGGAGCCCGCCUGAACCCGCGCGCGGGACCGACGGGACAGCGGGUCGGGCUGUGCGGCCUGGGGUAACUGCGCUACCAACGGCUCACAUCUGACGUGUCUGAAUCAGCUUUUCUUCCACCAGAAAUAUUUUAACUGGAUAAUAAGUCACAAGUACUGCCUAUCUCCAAACACCCCGUGAGCAUCCCAAACAGCCACACAGCACCUGAUCUCCACAGCCUGUUACCAUUCCCCUGUCUGCAGCUUAACGUUUGUAGCAACUCUGGGAGACUAAAGGGAUGAGCAACCCGCUGCCAAGGAAUGCAAGAGAUGCAGCAAAGGAGUACAGAAUAGAAUGAGAAACUGUUUAGCCAAAUGAGUGCCUACUGCAGCACUGAUCUAACUAACCUCCUAUGAGUCAAAGAAAAAAGCCAAACAGAGAGAAUCUUUUCACAGACAGACAAAGUAAAACACAGCAGAUCAAACAAGGCUUCAAGUCAGCCUUUCUCCAUGCAGUACUUUCAUAAUGGCAAUAGCUGUGGAAGCCGCUCAGCAACUCCACCUGUCUGAGAUGACUCAAACAAGCAGGCAGUGCUGCUUUAUUCUAACCAAUGCUGCCUUCCAGGAUAUGAGGAAAAUUCAACCUAAAGAUCCAAAGCCACUCAACAUUUAAGGGGAAUUGCUUCUUUUCUUUUCAGUGCUGUACACAAUGCCCAAAGAGUGUCCUCCUUCAUUGCAGUAAAUCCCAACGUAAACUGAGAAGAACCAUCAGAAGAGAUGGAACUACAUGAGAAAACAGUUCCCAGAGCCCUUGCUACAAUGUUAAUUCUUCUCUAAGCAUACACUGCCAGAUGUAAGUAAUCCUGAGCAUCUCUGUGUGUUUAGAAUACAGCAGAUUUAGUAUGUGCUCCAAGACAUCAGCAAAUGUUACAGUCAGAUCCGCCUGAAGCCUCCUUUUAACACAGGAGCAGAUGAGGAAUUUCACACAUCAGGAAAACCACCUUUCUAUAACAUCCUGAACCAGAUAAACACUGAGCACAUCGACCAUGAUUUGAUUCUGUGUUGUGAGCGUGUAGCACCAGCACACGGCUGGAACACUGCCCAGCAAGCCUACAACUUCUGCAUUAACCUUGUGUGAGCACAGCUCAGGUUAUCUAUUUAUAAAACCAUACCCCAGGUGUUGCCUACAGCAGGAUAUUACAGGAGGCGGCAGCUAACAGAGCUUCUUUCCUUGUGAUGCAGCCCAGGUGCUCAAGCUGGUGCUCUCAAUUAGGAACUCAGAGAGCCUGGCAUCUGGAGUAGAAAGACAACAGAACAUCACCAUUUCCCAGGGGUCAAGGAUUAACCAUGGCUCACACCUGCUCUGUUUAGUGCUGAGCUGUUUUUUCAGAAGAAAAGAUUAUCGCUAAUAGCUUUGAGUUGGUUCCAUUUUACAGUUUAUUCAUCUUAAUCUGACCCAAAUGCAAUCUGCAUCCCGCCUCAUACAAGCCUCUACACACAUUCAUUUUAGUCAAAGACAUGUCUCAAAAAUGCUGAAUCACUCAGUGUAGGUAACAAAAUGGUAUUUUUAUCAAGCACAUUAAUACAACUCAUCACAUUCCUCCACACUGCAAAUUCUCCCUCCUUGCAUCAACAUCUCCCACUGCUCUUCAUACAUAAGCUGAAACAUCAGUGGGUCAGAUCUGGUUUUUCCACUGCCUGAUGUUUGAUUACAGUUGUAGGAGAUCACAACAGUUCAGGAUCUUUCCUUUUCAUUGACAGUGUCAAACAAUUAGCUGGUCCUACCACUGGGAAUGAGUGUGUACACAUCCUUGCUGCAGCGUGCUUAGCUCCAGCUGGCAAACACAAACCUUGCAGCAGCCUCUCACAGUUCUCCACGCUGACCUAUAUUCCCUGCCCUUGCUGACCCAAUGAGGAGGAGGAAAUACCCACAGUGAGGGUUCCUGGUCUCUUCCACUGGGAGCCUUACCCUGUAAAGGAAGGCUGGUAGCAGGGAAAGGGGAGAAGAAAGGUCUCUACAACAUCAAGAUGGACACUGAAAGGCAGAGCUCACUUGUGCUCAGCAGUCACCUACCAAUGACCCAUGAAGACCACAAGGGUGCCAGCAAAAGCUCAGCUAAACCUCCACAGGCACCAUUCAGCCUCUUACACAGAUGACUCAAUUUGUGUCGACUGCAGUUCCUGCAGUUAGGGUGAACUUUGAGCACAGGAGCUCUGCCGUGGCUUGGGUUAGUCUCCAAAUAGCUCACCAGUGGAUUCUGCUUCCCAUAUUUCUCUAGCUUCUUUUCUGCUCUGUUGUGCCAGUCCUUGUCUGAAAUACUGCUCUGUCCACCACUAAGAAAUUUAAGUACAUCUCCAGGUGGCUCUGGAUAUUUGCUUUCUUUAAGCAGAGCUGUGUACUGCUGUAUAUGAUCACAAGAAUAUCAUUCACAUAAAGAAAGAACACUCAUUAAGUUCAGAGCACCAAUACAUUAGUUGUACACUGAAAACUAGUGGACAACAGAAAUGGAAGUUUUCUGAAUGUACUGCUACUGCAUAACAAGCAAUUAGCACAUGCACUUGUGGGAACUGCAAAUUACAAUACACAACUGAUUGUGCAUUUUAUGUGUGCAUUUUUGAGCCCAAUGUAUCCUAUGGCCCAAGAAAUGCUGGGAACAGCUGGCAUUUGUAGUCAUGUUUAUUGACACCACUCUGGAAAUGGAAGACUCUCACACUGGGUGCAAUCACUUACAAACUCAGACUUCUGCCUGCUCGCAGAAAAAAACAGCAUGUAAAAUCCUCCUUUGGUACUACAUCUCCGUUGGUACUACAAAUUCUGUAACACCUUUAAGCUGCCAAGCAGAACAAUUUGAUUCUGCAAGUCCUUUCAUGGCUGCAGAAUUCAUUAGCAGUUCUGGCCAUCCACAGAACAAAGGCUGAGUCCCCAAGGGCUGUGCUGGUAUUACAGAGAUUACUGGGAAGAAAUACACUCAUUUGGGGCUUAUUCUCCAGCAUCUUGAAAACGUAUCUACAGCACGUAGAAAUUAGGAAUCUACCUUGUAUUGAGGCUGUGUAUAACAGCACGGUAUGACCCUAUUUAUGCAAGGACAUAAUGUAGCGGAGGAAACCUGCAUUCUCAAACUAUUACUAUGGGAGACAGGAAAAAAAGCUGUAACUUGCAGACACUUCAGACUUCUUUCAGUCUUGCUCAUCAUUUAUUAUACAGCUCUGUAGAUGCUGAAAAAUGAGUUCACAGCAGAAAUGAGACAGGAAGCACACUAAGGGAGAAAUAAGCAUGGUGUGGGAAUGAGACAAGAACCUAAGGAAGAGCUCACACUGAAUUUGGGGAACAGAGUUUCUGUCAGAAAGAUGACCAUGGCUGCAUUAAGGAGCCCUCCGGCUAUUCCCAGCACCACAACUAUCAGCAACCUUUGAUCCACAAAAUGACAACUCUGCUGUAUUAAAGCUUAAUUUGUUUUGAGCAGAA
Molecule: non-coding RNA, 3667 nt
Organism: Coturnix japonica (Japanese quail)
Lineage: Eukaryota; Metazoa; Chordata; Aves; Galliformes; Phasianidae
Source: RefSeq, a predicted model, not a curated record